Molecule: ribosomal RNA, 705 nt
Filed under: uncultured bacterium
Lineage: Bacteria
Description: bacterial SSU rRNA
Rfam family: Bacterial small subunit ribosomal RNA
Source: RNAcentral
AGGAACCUGCCUCAAAGAGGGGGACAACAGUUGCUUACGACUGCUAAUACCGCAUAAGCCCACAGCUCGGCAUCGAGCAGGGGGAAAAGGAGUGAUCCGCUUUGAGAUGGCCUCGCGUCCGAUUAGCUAGUUGGUGAGGUAACGGCCCACCAAGGCGACGAUCGGUAGCCGGACUGAGAGGUUGAACGGCCACAUUGGGACUGAGACACGGCCCAGACUCCUACGGGAGGCAGCAGUGGGGAAUAUUGCACAAUGGGGGAAACCCUGAUGCAGCGACGCCGCGUGGAGGAAGAAGGUCUUCGGAUUGUAAACUCCUGUUGUUGAGGAAGAUAAUGACGGUACUCAACAAGGAAGUGACGGCUAACUACGUGCCAGCAGCCGCGGUAAAACGUAGGUCACAAGCGUUGUCCGGAAUUACUGGGUGUAAAGGGAGCGCAGGCGGGAGAACAAGUUGGAAGUGAAAUCCAUGGGCUCAACCCAUGAACUGCUUUCAAAACUGUUUUUCUUGAGUAGUGCAGAGGUAGGCGGAAUUCCCGGUGUAGCGGUGGAAUGCGUAGAUAUCGGGAGGAACACCAGUGGCGAAGGCGGCCUACUGGGCACCAACUGACGCUGAGGCUCGAAAGUGUGGGUAGCAAACAGGAUUAGAUACCCUGGUAGUCCACACCGUAAACGAUGAUUACUAGGUGUUGGAGGAUUGACCCCUUC